This is a long non-coding RNA of Etheostoma cragini (Arkansas darter), 117 nucleotides long. RefSeq lists it as uncharacterized. The record is from RefSeq and is a predicted model, not a curated record. The transcript has 3 exons. Lineage: Eukaryota; Metazoa; Chordata; Actinopteri; Perciformes; Percidae.
UUAAAAUUCGAUCUAAUUGUCAGCUGUAGGGGAUAGUGAGAUGUUUGCUAUAUGUGACAAAACAUGUUGUAGCCCAAGGAACACGUGACAUCGCUUAGAGCACCUUUAAUUUAACUG